Molecule: ribosomal RNA, 1421 nt
Filed under: metagenome
Description: bacterial SSU rRNA
Rfam family: Archaeal small subunit ribosomal RNA
Source: RNAcentral
GUUGAUCCUGCGGGAGAUUGCUGCUAUGGGGAUUCGACUAAGCCAUGCAAGUCUUCUAGUAAUAGAGGCAGAAUGCUCAGUAACACGUCGUUAACAUUCCCUCAAGUCAGGGAUACCUUCGGGAAAUUGAAGUUAAUACCUGAUAAGAAAUGAUAUCUGGAAUGAUACUUUUUUUGAACUUAGCUUGAGGAUUGGACGGCGGCUGAUUAGGCAGUUGGUGAGGUAAUGGUUCACCAAACCUUUGAUCAGUAUGGGCCUUGAGAGAGGUAGCCCAGAGAGGGACACUGAGAUACUUGUCCCAGCCCUACGGGGUGCAGCAGGCGCGAAACUUCUACAAUGCACGAAAGUGUGAUAGGGGAAUCCCUGGUGCUUACACUUUGUGUAGGCUUUUGUUAAAGGUAAAUUCUUUGACGAAUAAGUGGUGGGAAAGACCGGUGCCAGCAGCCGCGGUAAUACCGGCGCCACAAGUGGCAAUCACUAUUAUUGGGUCUAAAGCGUUCGUAGCUGGUUUAAUAAAUCUUUUGUGAAAUUGUCUAGCUCAAUUAGUUAAUGUGCAGAAGACACUGUUAAACUAGGGACCGGGAGGGGUUAGAAGUAUUUCAUGGGGAAUGGUAAAAUGUUAUAAUCCUUGAAAGACUACCAAUGGUGAAGGUAUCUAACCAGAACGGAUCCGACAGUGAGGAACGAAGGCCAGGGGAGCGAACCGGAUUAGAUAUCCGAGUAGUCCUGGCAGUAAACGCUGUGAGCUAGGUGUUGCGUAUCUUUUGUGGAUGCGCAGUGUCGAAAGGAAGCUGUUAAGCUCACCACCUGGGAAGUACGGUCGCAAGACUGAAACUUUAAGGAAUUGGCGGGGGAGCACCACAAGGGGUGCGGCGUGCGGUUUAAUCUAAUUCAAUGUAGAAAACCUCACUAGAGGCGACGGCAGAAUGAAGGUUAAUCUGAAGGGUUUACCUGACGAGCCGAGAGGUAGUGCAUGGCCGCCGUCAGCUCGUGCUGUGAAGUGUCCUCUUAAGUGAGGCAACGAGCGAGACCUGUAUCCAUAAUUGCUAACAUGCUUUUAGUGAAUGAGCACAUUAUGGGGACUGCCCUGGAAACAGGGAGGAAGGUGCAGGCUACGGUAGGUCUGUAUGUUUUGAAUUUUUUAGGCUACACGCGCGCAAUAAUGGUUAAGAUAAUGGGUUGUAACUCCGAAAGGAGAAGUUAAUUUUUUAAAUUUAAUCUUAGUCCAGAUCGAGGUUUGUAAUUUAGCCUCGUGACGCCGGAAUCCCUAGUAAUCGGAGUUCAUCAUACUCCGGUGAAUAUGUCCCUGCUCCUUGCACACACCGCCCGUCAUUCCAACCGAGCAGGGUUUAAGUGAAAUUUACUUUUCUUGAGUAAAUUGAACUUAAGCUCAGUGAGGCGGGACAAGUCGUUACAAGGUA